GAUGAAGAACGUAGUGAAAUGCGAUAAGUAAUGUGAAUUGCAGAAUUCAGUGAAUCAUCGAAUCUUUGAACGCACAUUGCGCCCCUUGGUAUUCCAUGGGGCAUGCCUGUUCGAGCGUCAUUUGUACCUUCAAGCUCUGCUUGGUGUUGGGUGUUUGUCUCGCCUCUGCGUGUAGACUCGCCUCAAAAUAAUUGGCAGCCGGCGUAUUGAUUUCGGAGCGCAGUACAUCUCGCGCUUUGCACUCAUAACGACGACGUCCAAAAGUACAUUUUUACACUCUUGACCUCGGAUCAGGUAGGGAUACCCGCUGAACUUAAGCAUAUCAAUAAGCGGAGGA
This 337-nucleotide unclassified non-coding RNA is filed under the name soil metagenome. Its description in RNAcentral is "partial contains 5.8S ribosomal RNA, internal transcribed spacer 2, and large subunit ribosomal RNA". The stretch from base 1 to 120 matches the Rfam family "5.8S ribosomal RNA", at positions 35 to 154 of the family's 154-position model. The record is from RNAcentral.